RNAcentral lists this ribosomal RNA (609 nucleotides) under uncultured bacterium. RNAcentral's name for it is "bacterial SSU rRNA". It matches the Rfam family "Bacterial small subunit ribosomal RNA", at positions 338 to 941 of the family's 1533-position model. The record is from RNAcentral.
CCUACGGGAGGCAGCAGUGGGGAAUUUUGGACAAUGGGCGCAAGCCUGAUCCAGCAAUGCCGCGUGAGUGAAGAAGGCCUUCGGGUUGUAAAGCUCUUUUGUCAGGGAAGAAACGGUGUGGGCUAAUAUCCCGCACUAAUGACGGUACCUUGAAGAAUAAGCACCGGCUAACUACGUGCCAGCAGCCGCGGUAAUACGUAGGGUGCAAGCGUUAAUCGGAAUUACUGGGCGUAAAGCGUGCGCAGGCGGUUUUGUAAGUUUGUCGUGAAAUCCCCGGGCUCAACCUGGGAAUGGCGAUGAAGACUGCAAGGCUAGAAUCUGGCAGAGGGGGGUAGAAUUCCACGUGUAGCAGUGAAAUGCGUAGAGAUGUGGAGGAACACCGAUGGCGAAGGCAGCCCCCUGGGUCAAGAUUGACGCUCAUGCACGAAAGCGUGGGGAGCAAACAGGAUUAGAUACCCUGGUAGUCCACGCCCUAAACGAUGUCUACUAGUUGUCGGGUUUUAAUUAACUUGGUAACGCAGCUAACGCGUGAAGUAGACCGCCUGGGGAUACGGUCGCAAGNUUAAAACUAAAGAUAGUGCGNGNGAGNGNGACGAGACGACGAGAGAG